AUUUACGGGGAAUACAUUUGGGAAAAUUUGUUUCUCUCUCAACCAUCCUGCCGCCUUCCCCCUCCCUUGUGCAGUCACCUUGCCGCUUUCUUCAUCCCUCUUCGCCGUCAGUAGCAGUGAUGAGCGGCAACGCCCGCCACCUCCUCGCUAACGCAGUUCAACACAGUAGGCUGGACCAAGGCUUCGGUCGUCGGGAUCUGCUUGUCGACGCACGCGAUCGCCGCUAACUUCACGUAACGGGCCCGUCAAAGCACACGGCUGUCGCCGUUCUUGGUCCGAUCGCGCGUCCCCGUGCUUGCUGCCCAUCUCGCCGAUCAAGGCGAGGAUCUAGGUUCGCGAUUUUCCCUGUUCGGCGGCUAACAACAAAGGUAGGGUUUUUGAUCUCUUUCACAAU
RNAcentral lists this long non-coding RNA (394 nucleotides) under Salvia miltiorrhiza (redroot sage). RNAcentral's name for it is "long non-coding RNA (SMIL_LNC008710)". Lineage: Eukaryota; Viridiplantae; Streptophyta; Magnoliopsida; Lamiales; Lamiaceae. The record is from RNAcentral.